AUUUCACAUGAUGAUGGUCUAUUAGUAGGAGGCAUCGGGGCUGGGACCAAGAUCAAGGAGGUGGACUAAGGUCUUUUGAAGCUUCAGAAGUAGAACAGAGCAUGCUUGAUCGAUGGGACUAUUUUAUGUAGCAUUUUGAACCAGCUCAGCCCUGGCUCUGUACCCGAGUCGAGGUGGUUCAUUUGUUUCUUCUGGGCAGCGCUAGAGAAUGUCUAAAAGUUUCUUUCAACUAUCGAUGAAAUGGGGUUACUGAGAUUUGAAGCAUCAGACCUAGAGCAGAUAUCCAUACUUUUUCCCUAACAUUUUUCUUCCAUUAAAGGCAUCUUUGGUGAAAUGGGGUUAAACCUCCUAUGUGACAUCUAAAAAGUUUACAAGUUUCAAACAACGGCAUUGAAGUAGAUGUGCUCAUCUAUGAUUGGAACUAUUGUGAAUCCUGAAUUUUCUUUUUUCUUAUUUUCUAAAUGCAAGUAAUGUGGACUCUGGGGCCGGUUGUCUUCAUUUUAUGGACUAGAAAGGGGCUCAUGGAGCUAUGAGAAGGAUCCAACUCAAGUGACAAGGGUCGUGUGGUGGAGGUUUAAGCGGCUACAUAUGUGAUAGGCUACACCCCUUGGAUGUAUGUUCCACCAACCCAAAGUCAUCCUGUAAAUCCUUAUUGAAAAACGCAGGCUAAUUAAUAACAUAUAAUAUCUAAAGAAGUUUUAAAUUUUGGUGCUGGACCAUUAUCUUUUGUACUUUUCUUUUGUGCUCACUUUGAUACUAGUUACUGAAAUUGCCUGAACAAAAAAAAAAAAAAAAAAAAAAAAAACAAUUCCACAGAUUAAAUUCAUAGCAUUGAUCUAUAUAUUUCAAUUGAAAGCUGAGCUUUGUUUCUUCCCUAUAUGCUGAAAUUUAACUUAAUAGUUAUCUGCAAUUAUGUUUUUUCUGUGGGAGAAUGAGUAGGGAUGUGUUGCCUAUAGCUUUUCGUGAGUGCAGACACCCUAAUAUUAUGAUUUUUUGAAUCAUUUUAUCCCAAAUGGAUGGAAUUAAUUUUUUUGUUGUUAGGAUGGGUGCUUUUUCCGCGUUGUCCUUUUUUUUCCCCAUUGUGGUAUUCGUAUGAUUUUCAAGUGAUAAAAACUAAAACCGAACUUAAAAACUAAAGUCAUGACAAGGGUGUACUUAUUAUUGUAUCACUACACCAACUCGGCCUGGUUUGCCUUUUCUCUCAUUCGUGUAUUAGUUGCAUCUUUGUAGUUAAACUAUGAAGUCUUCCACAUG
Magnolia sinica is the source of this 1254-nucleotide long non-coding RNA. RefSeq lists it as uncharacterized. Lineage: Eukaryota; Viridiplantae; Streptophyta; Magnoliopsida; Magnoliales; Magnoliaceae. The record is from RefSeq and is a predicted model, not a curated record. The transcript has 3 exons.